AAGGGAGCCCCCUUGUCGCGGUCCUCCGCCACCUCGCGGAUCGGCCCCUUCGCAGCUUCGGCCAUGGUGGCAGCAAUACCUUGGCCCCUCGGGAGAAACUGCUCGAUGGGGCCCUCUCGAUGGACGCUGAUCACCGGGGUAGGCGCCCGCGCGGCCACAUCUUCGACGAGCCAUGAUGUUUGAGGAAUUGAGUAUGUGUUUGUGAUAUUGCCUAUGCCGGUGAGCUUACUCAGCCCGGCAUGACAACCACGACCAGACACAUAGUCAAGUACCUCGCUGGCAAGGCCAAGGCGUACGUGAAUGAGUCACACCGACGCUUCUGCGGCGCACAUCAUGGUGUUCAGCCACCUCAGGCCAGGGGACCUUGAACAAUGGUAUUUCUGUGCUGAGAGGACACUGCACCAAGUUUAGGUAACCAGUUUAGCGUCAUACUCCUCAAGGAUCUUUUGGUGGUAUGGUGCCGACGACGGCAUGGCUCUGUUAAGUUAUUUAGGUAACCAGUUAGGCUUUUCUUCUGAAUUUCCUUUUCAGAAGGGCAUGUUUGGAGUUCGGACACAAGGGUAAAAGUAUUGCUUUUGCGUCCCAGAAAUAUUGAUCUAUUUGCCUUGACGAGAGGAUGUCACGGGGCAGAUCCUUCAAUUUGUGCGUCUGCCAUCUAUCUUUGGACAGUUCCUGAUGUGACACAAGCACUACAGAACACUGAAUCUACAUUUCUUGAAUUACGAUGGUAUCAUGACAAAUGAGACUGAGUGAUCGCCACCAAAGACAACAUUCGCUGAUGAGGUCAUGUUUUUAUAUGAGAAAAAGCCUUGAGAGCUGCUGAGAGAGGCCCUGUCGUGAAUUGCUGACCGGCUGUUGAGCAUGACUCUGAAAAAUCUUCAGAGAUUGUUAGUGGGACUGUUAUUUUCAUGGAGUAAAAUGACAAAAUACAUUAAGGCCAUGGUGCCCAUGGAGUUCUCUUCACCUACGACUAGAUCUAUUACAAGCAAUGUAGGUAAUUUGGUGUGCAAAUUAGUCAUCACCCUUGAUACCUUUUUUACCAACUCAUAGCAUUUUGUAUAUAUUUUAUUAUGUACAUCCUGCAUAGAUAUCGAGCACAGCAGAGAUCCUUAGAACCAUUACAACAGAAUUGUUCAUUCCACACUUUCAUUGCUUAUGAAAACUAAUGGUGCAAACCAUGUUAUUGUUGCUUCUUCCUAUGAUAAAUUUUGGUCACAAGGAUACUUGUAUAUUUACCUCGAAUCUGUGAUAGAUGAUUGAUGUAAGCUGCCACUGGAGUAGGAAUGCAAUAAAAGGUCCAGAAUUAUGUUCUUCUUAAUACUUCUGAUGUUCACUCAUGAUUUAAUGUUUCUCUCUUGAGACGACAAACCACUUUUGUGGAAAAGAAACUCCAUUCGUUGCUAAGGACCAAAUCAUACAUAUCAGAUCCAUUUACUCGCUGGAAAGAAAUGGACAAGGGGAUCAGUUUACACGUAAUAGGAAGUACUUGUGCUAGGAAGUAGUACGUGAUCUAAAUCUCCGAUUGCCAGGAUAGCUAUUAGUAAAAAAAAGGUUAUUGCUGACAAAGAAAAUUGCAUGUGCCUAUAUGUUUUUAGCUCAAAAUCAUACUUGAGAUAAAUUGAUGUUGCUGUCUGAUUUAGCAUAUCCUGUAUCAGACAAUGCCUUUUGCUUUGAUUGCGCUUUUUUGGAAGUGGUUACACAUUCAAAGAUUUGUUCACUAUAGAUAUUAUUUGUUUAAAUGUAGUUUUAUAAGUUUAUAUACCAAGAACUGAAUUUACCUUACCGAGCCAAGGCACUGACUUCUCAUAUGCAUAUAUGUGUGCCAUAGAUGUCAGGUAACACCCGUGAGUGAAUUCAUCUCAUCCUCAAUGCCUUCUAUUCUCUACCAAGAGGUGGAAUGCAGUUGAGGUCGAAGAAUGCCGUUGGAGAGACCAGAGGUUGCCGUGGUGGUGCUUGCCGGAGAUCAUGGCGAGAUGCUCUGCUGGGAGAGGAGACCUCGCCGGCGAGGUUGGGGACGAGCUGCUGGUUAAAGAUCAUGUAAUGAUUUUGUAAUUUAGAUGCUACUUGCAAAUGUUGGUUCCAUAUCCUAUAAUUUAGAUGCCUGGCUACAAUUUUAAUGCAUGAUCAGGUUACUGUGUUUGAUUAAAAUACCAGGCAAUAUGAUAAGUGCAUAUAUUUGUGCAAGUACUAUGAUUAUUGCUUUGUUUUGAAUAGUGCAUGUAAACAUAAUCAAAGGCAUUGUUGAAAACAGCCUUCAAAUGUAAUAUAAGGCAUCAUUGAAAAGUGUA
Long non-coding RNA from Lolium rigidum, 2288 nucleotides. RefSeq lists it as uncharacterized. The transcript has 6 exons. The record is from RefSeq and is a predicted model, not a curated record. Lineage: Eukaryota; Viridiplantae; Streptophyta; Magnoliopsida; Poales; Poaceae.